Molecule: long non-coding RNA, 227 nt
Organism: Mya arenaria
Lineage: Eukaryota; Metazoa; Mollusca; Bivalvia; Myida; Myidae
Exons: 3
Source: RefSeq, a predicted model, not a curated record
AGAAAAUGAAGACCAGUCCAAAACAUUGCGUCAUUUAGUAUUUAGCACGCGCUAGAGUGAUUCAAAACAUCGAAUUUGACCGACACUGAACAGAGAUAAAACCCAGAUGUAUACAUGGCCUGGAUUUCCAUAUUAUGCUGCCCAGAAUAAAAGACGAUGCAGUCCAGAUAAAAACAUUAUGCAUCAGAUGAAGUCUUUGACUAUCUAGAAAGGGAUUUUGUAAGCUA